UCUGAUGGUGUACCUCCUGAU
RNAcentral lists this non-coding RNA (21 nucleotides) under Arabidopsis thaliana (thale cress). Lineage: Eukaryota; Viridiplantae; Streptophyta; Magnoliopsida; Brassicales; Brassicaceae. The record is from RNAcentral.